Macaca mulatta (Rhesus monkey) is the source of this 148-nucleotide unclassified non-coding RNA. It matches the Rfam family "Metazoan signal recognition particle RNA". Rfam says of the family: The signal recognition particle (SRP) is a universally conserved ribonucleoprotein. NCBI's taxonomy places the organism in Eukaryota, Metazoa, Chordata, Mammalia, Primates, Cercopithecidae. The record is from Ensembl.
GCCGGGCGUGGUGGCGGGCGCCUGUAAUCCCAGCUACUUGAGAGGCUGAGGCAGGAGAAUCGCUUGAACCCAGGAGGCGGAGGUUGCAGUGAGCCGAGAUCGCGGCUCUGCACUCCAGCCUGGGUGACAGAGUGAGACUCUGUCUCAG